CAACAGAGUCAUUAUGUUUCCCUUCUUCACAUCAUGAUUGUCUUUUUGAAACUAUAGUAACCUAGGAGGCAGAUUUUUUUUCCCCUUUGUUUGUUUGAAUCACAUUGUUGAUAUAGUGUGCAUUGGAAACUUGAGGUAAUGAAUAAUAUUUGAAACAAUUAUAGUAGAGUAUAUAGGUAUAGUAGACAGAGUUAUCACAUGUAUUUGAAAGGACUUUGACUUUUUAUUUUCAGCUUAGUGAGAAGGGAAGCUAUCUAACAUCCAGCCACUAACUGCUGAUGGCCAGUAGACAACAGAAAGGGAACUCUCAUCAGCUGCUAAGUCCCACCUUCUGUCACUGCAGCUGGAAACAAACUGGCUUAGCUGCUCACUCAACGGUC
RNAcentral lists this long non-coding RNA (380 nucleotides) under Coturnix japonica (Japanese quail). RNAcentral's name for it is "lncRNA (ENSCJPG00005012454.1)". The record is from RNAcentral. Lineage: Eukaryota; Metazoa; Chordata; Aves; Galliformes; Phasianidae.